RNAcentral lists this ribosomal RNA (440 nucleotides) under uncultured organism. RNAcentral's name for it is "bacterial SSU rRNA". It matches the Rfam family "Bacterial small subunit ribosomal RNA", at positions 100 to 572 of the family's 1533-position model. The record is from RNAcentral.
GGACGGGUGAGUAACGCGUAAGAACCUGCCCUUGGGAGGGGAACAACAGCUGGAAACGGCUGCUAAUACCCCAUAGGCUGAGGAGCAAAAGGAGGAAUCCGCCCAAGGAGGGGCUCGCGUCUGAUUAGUUAGUUGGUGAGGCAAUGGCUUACCAAGGCGACGAUCAGUAGCUGGUCCGAGAGGAUGAUCAGCCACACUGGGACUGAGACACGGCCCAGACUCCUACGGGAGGCAGCAGUGGGGAAUUUUCCGCAAUGGGCGAAAGCCUGACGGAGCAAUGCCGCGUGAAGGCAGAAGGCCCACGGGUCAUGAACUUCUUUUCUCGGAGAAGAAAAAAUGACGGUAUCUGAGGAAUAAGCAUCGGCUAACUCUGUGCCAGCAGCCGCGGUAAGACAGAGGAUGCAAGCGUUAUCCGGAAUGAUUGGGCGUAAAGCGUCUGU